CAUAUUUGCUCUCUUAAAGGGUCAAAAUAUUCUUCUCUCUCGACUCUCUUCUCUUUUAUUCCGGAGGCGAUAACGAAACCAUCUAUCUCCAAGCUUUACUCUAUUCGCUUUGUUUAUGCCUUUUUCUCUUUUAUUUCAUUCUCCUUCUUGACCUAUAUGGUUUCUAAUUUCAGUUUUUGGUGCUUAUUUAGGGUUUUUGAUUUCAGUUGUUUGGUGUUUUUUUAGUUUUUUUUUUUAAUUUCAAUUUUUGGUGUCUAUUUAGGUUUCUAAUCGCGAUUCUUAAUUUGAAGUUUUUUUUUGCAGAGACGUUUCUUUUGGUUCGUCCUCUUUGAAAGCCAUCGCAGAAGAAGUGAGAAAUCCGCAUAUCCUAUCUGACGGAUCUUCUACAAGGGCUCUGCUAUAUCAGUCUUCUAUUCUAUCAAGCCAUUCAUUGACGACACCUUUCUUCCCAGGUACUUCCUCUUUCUUUAACUUUAGAAAACAAGAAAAAACAUCGGUUUAUUAUAUUAGUAGUAAUGCUUGAAAACAAGUAGUUCAUAUUAUAGCCUUUUGUAGUUUUCACCAGUCUCUAGUUAAUCUGUAUUCGUUAUAUUUCUUUCCUUUAUCUUAUUAGCUUCAAUUUUAUUUCUAGUAUUUCAAAUUCCCUUGUUUUCUAUGUCUUUAGCGUGGAUGUUUCUUUAAUUCUAUCUAUAUUACAAAUGAGGUAAUCUUAAUUACCUCUCUUAAGUGUCCCCUGAUGCCAUAAUGUGAACGAGCUUGUCCCAUGGUUUCCUAAUUGCUCGAGCUAUAAAAAAAUGACUCAUAACGAGGUAAUUUUAACUACCUCUCUGAAAUGUCCUUGAUGCCAAGAUACAUAUGAGGUUGUCCCGCCUAUCUAUAAAACUCUGUUUCCUAGUCUCAGAGCUAUAACAAAACAAGGUAAUCUUAAUUACCUUUCUGAAAUGUCCCUGGAGAUUUGAACACAGAGCUUGUCCCACGAUUUACUAGUCUCAGAGCUAUAAUGAAGCAAGGUAAUGAAAUGUCCCUGAUGAUAAAACACAGAGCUUGUCCCACGGUUUACUAGUCCCUGGUGAUAGAACACAGAGCUUGUCCCAUGGUUUACUAGUCUCAGAGCUAUAAUGAAGCAAGGUAAUGAAAUGUCCCUGAUGAUAAAACACAGAGCUUGUCCCACAGUUUACUAGUCUCAGAGCGAUAAAAUGAAACAAGGUAAUCUUAAUUACCUUUCUAAAAUGUCCCUGAUGAUAAAACACAGAGCUUGUCCCACGGUUUACUAGUCUCAGAGCGAUAAAAUGAAACAAGGUAAUCUUAAUUACCUUUCUGAAAUGUCCCUGAUGAUAGAACUCAGAGCUUGUCCCACUGUUUAAUAGUCUCAGAGCUAUAAUAUGAAACAAGGUAAUCUUAAUUACCUUUCUGAAUGUCCCUGAUGAUUGAACAAAGAGCUUGUACAAAUGCCUCGUACUGCAGGUAAUUUUAAUUACCUCUUUGAAGUGUCCCUGAUGCCAUAAUGUAAAUGAGCUUGUCCCACUGUUUCUAUAAACAAAUGCCUCGUGUCUUAGAAUCAAGGUAAUCCUAAUUACCUUGAAACGUCCCUGAUGCUGUAACACCAAAUGAGCUUGUUCCGACUCUUUGAAUAACAAAAAAUGGCUCGUCCGAGAAGUAAGGUAAUAUUAGUUACCUCUCUGAUGCGUCUCUAAUGCUAGAAAACGAGUAUGCCCCGCUUCUUUGAAUAACUCGGUGCCCUAGUCACUCGAGCUUUACAAAUGACUCGUAACAAGGUAAUCUUAAUUACCUCCCUGCUGUCAUGUCAGAACACUUGAGAUUGUCCCACAUGUUUAUAAGAACUCGUUUCCUAGUCUUGGAGCAAAAUGCUCUGUAACAAGGUAAUCUUAAUUACCUUUCUGAAAUGUCUCUGAUGAUAAAACCAAAGAGCUUGUCCCUGAAAGUCGGUUCUCCUAGUCACUCGUGCUCUACACAACGAGGUAAUCUUAAUUACUUCUAUGAAAUGUCCCUGAUGACAGAACACAAGUGAGCUUUUGUCCUGCGGUAGAAUCAAGUGAGUACUAACCAAAUGCCUCGUAACGAGGUAAUCUUAAUUACCUCUCUGAAACGUCCCUACUAGUACUAUGUCACUGAUGCUAGGUUGCGAAUGAGAAUGUCUCUUAAUUAAUUUGGGCUACUUGGGAUCCUAGUUACCUGAGUCAAACACACAAAUGCCUUCGGAGUUACUUGAGAUCCUAGUCCUCAAGUGAAAUGUAAAUAGAAGUCCCUGAUGCUAGAAUAAAAAUGAGGUGGUCCCACCUCAUUACUCAGGCAUUAAACACUAAUGCCUCAGAUAAAUGAAAGCCAAAAGGAUUGUAACGAGGUAAUUUUAAUUACCUCUCUGAAAGGACCCUCAGCUGGCAUAACACAAGUGAGCUUGUUCAGCAGUUUCCUAAUCAGCGUAGAGUCAAAGGUAAUCUUUAUUACCUCUUUUAAAUGUCCCUGAAUAAGUCGGUUUACUAGUCAACCGAGCUAUAAACAAAUGCCUCGGAAAGGAGGUAGUCUUGAUUACCUUCUCUAAGAUGUCCCUGAUGCCAGAACACAGAUGAAGCUGUCCCGCCUGUUACUAAUGCUUGUUUCCUAGUCUCAAAGCUAUAACCAAAAUCUCUGGAACAAGGUAAUCUUAAUUACCUUUCUGAAAUGUCCAUGAUGAUAGAACACAGAGCUUGUCCAGCGGGUUUCCUGGUCACAGUAGAAUCGAGAAUGCCUCUGAUUCUAGAAAUGAAAAUGAGGUUGUCCCACCUUAUUAAAUCACUAAGGUUUUGAUACCUGAUGCUUGAGUUAAACACAAAUGCCUCUGGAAUUGCUUGAGAUCCUAAUCACUCAAGAUAAAUGAAAGGCAAAAGAUUUAAGGAUGGAAAUGAUGAGGUUGUCUCACCUCUUUCGAUUACUCGGGGUUUCUGGUCAAUUAAGUUAAACACAAAUGCCUCGGCCCAGAUCUAACGACAAUGCUCAAACUAAAAGAAAAACCGAGUUUCUAGAAUGAAAAUGAGGUUGGGCUGCCUUCUUCAAAUUACUCGGUUCCUAGUCAGCAACACAAUCCUUCCCGGUUCCGAGUGUGUUAAGUGAUGAGGUAACUAUUUUUUCCUCCUUCUAUUUCAGGUUGACCUCUAUAGUACAAACAUAUAGAAGAUCAACACAAGAAUUUCAUGUUUUUUUUUUCAUUCGAACCUGCUGACAGAUGUCGUCUAACUCCACACUGUCGAGAACUAGUGAACAAUCAUAGAGAAGAUCAACACAAGAAUUUCAUGUUGUUUUUUAUUUCGUUUGAACAAGCUGACAGAUGUCGUCUAACUCCACCUUUUCUAUCUUUCUUUGCAUGUAGUUCUACUCUGGGUUUCAAAGAUCACGCCAAGAGUUUCAGGAAGGGAUGAUUAGGCUGUUUCAUUCAGUGGUUAAGUACCAUUGAAACUGUUGAGCAAGCCAAAUCAUCUUGUUGCCUGCGACUAAAGGCUUUUCUUUCCAUCUCAUCCACAUCUGAUUCAUGGCGGAGGUGAAACCGGAGGAAGAGGUCGAUUAGCAGUAGCAGUAGUGGCAGAGAGUCGUUCAAGACCAAGAAUCCAUUUAGCUGUGCUGAAAGACAGAAGACGACAGCAGAGACAUGACAGGAUUGACCGUCCAUGAGGUUGUCUUGGUCCAAAGCCAAAGUGCCGCUACUGCACAACUUCAACUCCCAAAGCCCUCGCGUUCUUCAAGUCAUCUCGAUGAUUAAUAAUAUAUGCACAGUCUCUUGCUAUUACCGAGCAGAUUUCCACCAUGAUCAUUUUUAAUUAGUGUAAUUUUGUAUUGAAUUUUAGUAAUGACCCUGGUGAAAUUUUGAAUUUGUAAAUGUAUUGCUAGUGUUUUAUA
Long non-coding RNA from Raphanus sativus (radish), 3888 nucleotides. RefSeq lists it as uncharacterized. The record is from RefSeq and is a predicted model, not a curated record. The transcript has 4 exons. Lineage: Eukaryota; Viridiplantae; Streptophyta; Magnoliopsida; Brassicales; Brassicaceae.